GCUUACGGCCACACCGCCUGGUUCACGCCCGAUCUCGUUUGAUCUCGGAAGCUAAGAUAGGAUGGGCCUGGUUAGUACUUGGAUGGGAGACCGCCUAGGAAUACCAGGUGCUGUAAGGC
Molecule: ribosomal RNA, 119 nt
Organism: Scophthalmus maximus (turbot)
Lineage: Eukaryota; Metazoa; Chordata; Actinopteri; Pleuronectiformes; Scophthalmidae
Source: Ensembl